RNAcentral lists this ribosomal RNA (440 nucleotides) under uncultured bacterium. RNAcentral describes it as "partial 16S ribosomal RNA". It matches the Rfam family "Bacterial small subunit ribosomal RNA", at positions 338 to 795 of the family's 1533-position model. The record is from RNAcentral.
CCUACGGGCGGCAGCAGUGGGGGAUAUUGCACAAUGGGGGAAACCCUGAUGCAGCGACGCCGCGUGUGGGAAGACGGUCCUCUGGAUUGUAAACCACUGUCCCCAGGGACGAAGAUGACGGUACCUGGGGAGGAAGCUCCGGCUAACUACGUGCCAGCAGCCGCGGUAAUACGUAGGGAGCAAGGGUUGUCCGGAAUUACGGGGUGUAAAGGGAGCGUAGGCGGGAUGGCAAGUUGGGUGUUAAAUCUACCGGCUCAACUGGUAGUCGCACUCAAAACUGCUAUUCUUGAGUGAAGUAGAGGCAGGCGGAAUUCCUAGUGUAGCGGUGAAAUGCGUAGAUAUUAGGAGGAACACCAGUGGCGAAGGCGGCCUGCUGGGCUUUUACUGACGCUGAGGCUCGAAAGUGUGGGUAUCAAACAGGAUUAGAUACCCUUGUAGUC